Molecule: ribosomal RNA, 251 nt
Filed under: uncultured bacterium
Lineage: Bacteria
Description: partial small subunit ribosomal RNA
Rfam family: Bacterial small subunit ribosomal RNA
Source: RNAcentral
AGAAUCAACGCUGGCGGCGUGCCUAACACAUGCAAGUCGAACGAGAAAGUGGGAGCAAUCCCACGAGUAAAGUGGCGCACGGGUGAGUAACACGUGACUAACCUACCCUUGAGUGGGGGAUAACCGUAAGGGAAACCUGGGCUAAUACCGCAUAAUACCUUCGGGUCAAAGGAGCAAUUCGCUUAAAGGAGGGGGUCGCGGCCGAUUAGUUAGUUGGCGGGGUAAUGGCCCACCAAGACUGUGAUCGGUAU